Molecule: unclassified non-coding RNA, 102 nt
Organism: Pteropus vampyrus (large flying fox)
Lineage: Eukaryota; Metazoa; Chordata; Mammalia; Chiroptera; Pteropodidae
Gene: Vault
Rfam family: Vault RNA
About the family: This family of RNAs are found as part of the enigmatic vault ribonucleoprotein complex. The complex consists of a major vault protein (MVP), two minor vault proteins (VPARP and TEP1), and several small untranslated RNA molecules. It has been suggested that the vault complex is involved in drug resistance.
Source: Ensembl
GGGCUGGCUUUAGCUCAGCGGUUCCUUCGCAUUCAGCGCUCCAUGCUUAAAAUCACUCUCCAUAGGGUGGUUCGAGACCCGCGGGCGCUUUCCAGUCCUUUU